CCUACGGGAGGCAGCAGUGGGGAAUAUUGCACAAUGGGGGAAACCCUGAUGCAGCGACGCCGCGUGAGUGAAGAAGUAAUUCGUUAUGUAAAGCUCUAUCAGCAGGGAAGAAAAUGACGGUACCUGAGUAAGAAGCCCCGGCUAACUACGUGCCAGCAGCCGCGGUCAUACGUAGGGGGCAAGCGUUAUCCGGAUUUACUGGGUGUAAAGGGAGCGUAGACGGGAGUGCAAGUCUGGAGUGAAAGGCGGGGGCUCAACCCCCGGACUGCUCUGGAAACUGUACGGCUGGAGUGCAGGAGAGGUAAGUGGAAUUCCUAGUGUAGCGGUGAAAUGCGUAGAUAUUAGGAGGAACACCAGUGGCGAAGGCGGCUUACUGGACUGUAACUGACGUUGAGGCUCGAAAGCGUGGGGAGCAAACAGGAUUAGAUACCCGGGUAAUC
Molecule: ribosomal RNA, 440 nt
Filed under: uncultured bacterium
Lineage: Bacteria
Description: partial 16S ribosomal RNA
Rfam family: Bacterial small subunit ribosomal RNA
Source: RNAcentral